UACGUAGAGAGCAAGCGUUGUCCGGAAUCAUUGGGUGUAAAGGGUACGCAGGCGGCCCAUUAAGUCAGAUGUGAAAGCCCGGAGCUCAACUCCGGGAUUGCAUUUGAAACUGGUGGGCUAGAGUACAGGAGAGGAAAGUGGAAUUCCUAGUGUAGCGGUGAAAUGCGUAGAUAUUAGGAAAAACACCAGUGGCGAAGGCGGCUUUCUGGACUGUAACUGACGCUGAGGUACGAAAGCGUGGGGAGCGAACAGG
RNAcentral lists this ribosomal RNA (253 nucleotides) under uncultured bacterium. Its description in RNAcentral is "partial 16S ribosomal RNA". It matches the Rfam family "Bacterial small subunit ribosomal RNA", at positions 524 to 776 of the family's 1533-position model. The record is from RNAcentral.